UGGGGAAUAUUGGACAAUGGGCGAAAGCCUGAUCCAGCCAUGCCGCGUGUGUGAAGAAGGUCUUCGGAUUGUAAAGCACUUUAAGUUGGGAGGAAGGGCAGUAAGCGAAUACCUUGCUGUUUUGACGUUACCGACAGAAUAAGCACCGGCUAACUCUGUGCCAGCAGCCGCGGUAAUACAGAGGGUGCAAGCGUUAAUCGGAAUUACUGGGCGUAAAGCGCGCGUAGGUGGUUCGUUAAGUUGAAUGUGAAAGCCCCGGGCUCAACCUGGGAACUGCAUCCAAAACUGGCGAGCUAGAGUAGGGCAGAGGGUGGUGGAAUUUCCUGUGUAGCGGUGAAAUGCGUAGAUAUAGGAAGGAACACCAGUGGCGAAGGCGACCACCUGGGCUCAUACUGACACUGAUGUGCGAAAGCGUGGGGAGCAAACAGG
This 429-nucleotide ribosomal RNA is filed under the name Pseudomonadota bacterium. Its description in RNAcentral is "Proteobacteria bacterium partial 16S ribosomal RNA". It matches the Rfam family "Bacterial small subunit ribosomal RNA", at positions 355 to 776 of the family's 1533-position model. Lineage: Bacteria; Pseudomonadati; Pseudomonadota. The record is from RNAcentral.